This 492-nucleotide ribosomal RNA is filed under the name uncultured bacterium. RNAcentral's name for it is "partial 16S ribosomal RNA". It matches the Rfam family "Bacterial small subunit ribosomal RNA", at positions 29 to 507 of the family's 1533-position model. The record is from RNAcentral.
AGUGAACGCUGGCGGUAGGCCUAACACAUGCAAGUCGAACGGCAGCACAGUAAGCGCUUGCUCUUACGGGUGGCGAGUGGCGGACGGGUGAGGAAUACAUCGGAAUCUACUUUUUCGUGGGGGAUAACGUAGCGAAACUUACGCUAAUACCGCAUACGACCUACGGGUGAAAGCAGGGGAUCUUCGGACCUUGCGCGAUUGAAUGAGCCGAUGUCGGAUUAGCUAGUUGGCGGGGUAAAGGCCCACCAAGGCGACGAUCCGUAGCUGGUCUGAGAGGAUGAUCAGCCACACUGGAACUGAGACACGGUCCAGACUCCUACGGGAGGCAGCAGUAGGGAAUAUUGGACAAUGGGCGCAAGCCUGAUCCAGCCAUACCGCGUGGGUGAAGAAGGCCUUCGGGUUGUAAAGCCCUUUUGUUGGGAAAGAAAAGCAGCAGGUUAAUACCCCGCUGUUCUGACGGUACCCAAAGAAUAAGCACCGGCUAACUUCGUG